UGUUAGGAUAAGUGAGGAGCCAACCAUUUACUCUCCAGAAGAGGUCUCUCACCAGAACCUGACCCUCCUGGCACCAUAAUUUUGGACUUCCUGCCUCCAGACAGAGAACAGCACCGCCCAGUGGCUGGGAGUGUUUGGGGAAAUGCUGGCUGGAAUCUCUUCUUCCGUUCAUUGGCUGUAAGAUCAGGGUCACACCCCUCAUCCCCUGAGCUUCAGGGUUUCCUCCACUAAAGAGAUGACUCUCAGCCCUCCUGCCUCACAUGGCACAAUGAAUGGAGAAGCGCCGGGAGCCUCACAGCUGUAGGGGUGGUUCCUGCCUUGGGUUCAUCCUGGCCAGUCUUGGUCAGCAUAGCGUUGAAGGUUCUAGAAGAACGUUGGGGAAUAAGGAAGACCAACCGGUACCUCACCUAACAUCCCUUCAACAAGCCUCACGCUUGAAGAACACACAGCCCAGCUGGAGAGAGAGGCCAGGACCCCACAUCAUCACAGAGUGGGUGCAUCAAGAGCAGCUGGGGCAGGGGCAUCCCGGAAAAGGGCAUCGUCCCUGAAGGCUGCUGGCCCUGAAGGAGCUCUGGGAGCAAGGGGUGAUGGUGGGGCCUUGAGGCCCAGGUAGGAUCCGGAGUGUGAGAGGGAAGAUGCCUUUGGAAAUGAAGCCCUUGGUCACCUCAGUGAGAAACAUGGCAGGAUUUGCUCUCUUGUUGCAUUAUUUAAAAUGAAGGCAGAUGUCAAUCAUCUCAGGCAGGUUUACAUCCUAAAUGCAACUGACCCGGUCCCGUAUAUCAGCCCCCUUGUUGUGGCCUAGCAGCCCAGAGAACCUACAGUCCUCUUAGCUGGCAACAUCACAGAACAUUCCACCUGGAAAAACCUUAGGGAAUCCUUGGUCAGUGGUGUUCAGUUCUACCCCACCCUUUCUGUCUUUAAUUAUGGACUUCUGUAUUCAAACAAAACAUUAUAAGAAGCCAAAUAUAAAACAUAGCAAAGCAAAGCUACUCAGACCAAAUCAGGGAUAAGAGACUCCGAUCUGCCCAUGGGUUUCAGAAAACGCCACAUGAAAAUGCCUGGGCUACUUCCACUGGCUUAUACACUGGAGAAACUGAGGCACAGAGCGACAGUCCUGACCAUACACUAUGUGAGAGCAAAGACCUGGUUGGUCUUAUAGCACACUGCAUCCCCAGCAUCCACCUCAGUCAGUCCUGGCACAUAUAGAUGCCCAAUAAAUAUCGGUUGGACAGAUACAGAUUAGUUGGAUCAACAUACAUUUUUUGCAUAAAUAAAUAUUUGUUGGAAGAGACACACAGGCAAUGCUGACGGCCUUUGCACAGUCAUCUCUGUUUUUCUACAAAUGCAACUACUUUUUGAAGAGGCUAAAGGAGGGACUUGCCUCUGAGACAGGGUCUGUAAUUGCCUAUGUUUGGAAUGUACAGCAUUUGAAAGGUUUUAAUUUCCUGAUCUAAUGACAAGAAUAAAAGCAGAGGAGUAGAGGGCCAGGGAGGAUGAAAAGGAGCCACAAUUUGCAUCCAAGAUGGAAGUGCCCUUUGUUGUCCCACAUCCAAGUCAACUUCAAAGUUUUCUGCUGCAUGGAGAUGCACAUCAGUCACCAUGGCAACCACCAAUCUGCCCAGGCUACUCGACCCUGGCCAGCCCUCUGCCAGCCAUAGCAUGUGCCUGGCUUUCAGAGAGCCAGGUGGGGCAGAGAACACAGGGGCUGCCGCUCAACCUCGCCAGCCUCCACCCAGCACGUCUUAUUGGCUCUCAGUCUGUGGGGAGAGGGGUCUGGGUCAGCACCUCGAUUGGCUGCACUGUCAUCCUGCAAGCAUGCAUUAGUAGCCACCAGGUGCCUGUGCAUCGGGUCACUCCUUAGAGAUAACACUCCCGUGUCUGGCACUAGUCGCUGAACAAAGGCCUGUGAAUGAGUCAAUGAAUGAAAUCAUAACCAGAGUCCCCUGGGAGCUUCUAAAAUAAACAAAUGCCCAGCUCCACCACCUGAAACUGGCUGCAUCAGCAUCUCUGGGAGGUACAGGCAAGACUGGGGGGCUACAGUUGCACACGCGCCCCUCAAGUUAGAGCAGGAGGAGAAAGCUGAAUGGAGACAGUCCGGGUGGGGCUGCUGGAGCUGCCACUCACGGAGAUGGCAGGAGGGGCGCUUGCUUUGGGAUGUGUCGGGUUAGAGGUGCCCAGGAGGAGUUUGGGAGUCCGGAGUUCUGGGGAGAACUCAGGGAGGGAGGCAGCCUUUUUAUCCACCAGAGUGAUGAGACCAUGGUGAGGGUGCAGAGACAGAUGUAUUCACCCAUUUUCACGCUGCUGAUAAAGACAUACCCGAGACUAGGCAAUUUGUAAAGAAAAAGAGAUUUAAUGGACUCACAGGUCUAAGUGGCGGGGGCGGCCUCACAAUCAUGGCAGAAGGCAAGAGAGAGAAUGAGAACCAAGCGAAAGGGGUUUCUCCUUAUAAAACCAUCUGAUCUCAUGAGACUUAUUCACUAUCACUAGAACAGUAUAGGGGAAACUGCCCCCAUGAUUCAAUCAUCUCCCAGCGGGUCCCUCCUACAUCACGUGGGAAUUAUGAGAGCUACAAUUCAAGAGGAGAUUUGGGUGGGGACACAGUCGAACCAUAUCAAUGAGCAAGAGACCGAGUAUCCAAGGUAUAAGCCAUGGAACACACGGGCCAACAAGGAGGGGUAGGUGAGGGAGAUGAGAGUGAGCACCAGGCAAAUGUGGUGCCUGGGAAGCCAGGAGAAUGUGACAAGCACAGGCUGGGGAAGAAAGAUAGUCAUGCCCAGAGCAUCAAGGCAGGAGCUGCAGAAGAAAGUCUCCCAUCCAACAUGUGGUGACUGCCGGCUGCUGUGGGUGCCCCACCUGGGUGGGGGCUGCCUAGACUACCUCUGCCCAAAGACUGGGGCCUCAGUGGUGGCCACACUGAGCAUAUCUUGCAAACCCCUCCUAAGUCCACCAGGCCUGAGGUUCUUACCUUGAAAUUUACCUCUUCUUCCUCCA
Molecule: long non-coding RNA, 2991 nt
Filed under: Homo sapiens (human)
Lineage: Eukaryota; Metazoa; Chordata; Mammalia; Primates; Hominidae
Description: HSALNT0168602
Source: RNAcentral